This 253-nucleotide ribosomal RNA is filed under the name uncultured bacterium. RNAcentral's name for it is "partial 16S ribosomal RNA". It matches the Rfam family "Bacterial small subunit ribosomal RNA", at positions 524 to 776 of the family's 1533-position model. The record is from RNAcentral.
UACGGAGGUUGCAAGCGUUAUCCGGAUUUAUUGGGUUUAAAGGGUGCGUAGGCGGAAUGAUAAGUCAGUGGUGAAAGCCUGCAGCUUAACUGUAGAAUUGCCAUUGAUACUGUCGUUCUUGAGUCUAGUUGAGGUGGGCGGAAUGUGUAAUGUAGCGGUGAAAUGCUUAGAUAUUACACAGAACACCAAUUGCGUAGGCAGCUCACUAAACUAUAACUGACGCUGAGGCACGAAAGCGUGGGGAGCAAACAGG